Molecule: long non-coding RNA, 456 nt
Organism: Bubalus bubalis (water buffalo)
Lineage: Eukaryota; Metazoa; Chordata; Mammalia; Artiodactyla; Bovidae
Exons: 2
Source: RefSeq, a predicted model, not a curated record
GGAUGUACCCUGGGGCGUUGGCUGGCCUCACCUGGGUGGUCCUGAGCUGCGAAGACAGAAGCUGGCCAGAAAAGGUUGCUGGAGGGAUUCUGUGUUAACACACAGCUUUCUCUCACUAGUGUGGAAUCAGGACCCGCUCAUUCUCCUGGAGCUUCACUGUGUGUGUCCAGCACAAGCUCAGCUGUGGGACCUCUAGGCAGGCACCCCCGCGCCCGGGCCCCCCAGGUCAGCACAGACAGGGGCCUAGAGCAGCAGGGAUGCUGUUUGAGAACCAGCCACUUCUCCACCAAAGAGAAGAGUGACCAGCCGCUUCCUCCACCACUGGACCUAAAUGUGAAUUCCGUGUCUGCUUGGAACAGUUUUGCCAAGUCCAGCCCCCUGUGUCUAGUUAUCCAGACAAGCCUUUUCAUCCACUUUUCCUGGUUAUGUGGAAAAUAACCACUCAAAUCAGAUGGA